RNAcentral lists this ribosomal RNA (511 nucleotides) under Phomopsis sp. NY7453a. RNAcentral describes it as "eukaryotic LSU rRNA". The stretch from base 144 to 297 matches the Rfam family "5.8S ribosomal RNA". Lineage: Eukaryota; Fungi; Ascomycota; Sordariomycetes; Diaporthales; Diaporthaceae. The record is from RNAcentral.
UGUGAACUUAUACCUUACUGUUGCCUCGGCGCUAGCUGGUCCCUCGGGGCCCCUCACCCUCGGGUGUUGAGACAGCCCGUCGGCGGCCAACCUAACUCUUGUUUUUACACUGAAACUCUGAGCACAAAACAUAAAUGAAUCAAAACUUUCAACAACGGAUCUCUUGGUUCUGGCAUCGAUGAAGAACGCAGCGAAAUGCGAUAAGUAAUGUGAAUUGCAGAAUUCAGUGAAUCAUCGAAUCUUUGAACGCACAUUGCGCCCUCUGGUAUUCCGGAGGGCAUGCCUGUUCGAGCGUCAUUUCAACCCUCAAGCCUGGCUUGGUGAUGGGGCACUGCUUCUUACCCAAGAAGCAGGCCCUGAAAUUCAGUGGCGAGCUCGCGCCCUGAAAUUCAGUGGCGAGCUCGCCAGGACCCCGAGCGCACUAGUUAAACCCUCGCCCUGAAACCCCCUGGCGCUGAAAAUUUGACCUCGGAUCAGGUAGGAAUACCCGCUGAACUUAAGCAUAUCAAAA